Molecule: ribosomal RNA, 440 nt
Filed under: Talaromyces funiculosus
Lineage: Eukaryota; Fungi; Ascomycota; Eurotiomycetes; Eurotiales; Trichocomaceae
Description: eukaryotic LSU rRNA
Rfam family: Eukaryotic large subunit ribosomal RNA (bases 178-440)
Source: RNAcentral
GCCUGUCCGAGCGUCAUUUCUGCCCUCAAGCACGGCUUGUGUGUUGGGUGUGGUCCCCCCGGGGACCUGCCCGAAAGGCAGCGGCGACGUCCGUCUGGUCCUCGAGCGUAUGGGGCUCUGUCACUCGCUCGGGAAGGACCUGCGGGGGUUGGUCACCACCACAUUUUCCAUUAUGGUUGACCUCGGAUCAGGUAGGAGUUACCCGCUGAACUUAAGCAUAUCAAUAAGCGGAGGAAAAGAAACCAACCGGGAUUGCCUCAGUAACGGCGAGUGAAGCGGCAAGAGCUCAAAUUUGAAAUCUGGCCCUUUCAGGGUCCGAGUUGUAAUUUGCAGAGGAUGCUUCGGGUGCGGUCCCCAUCUAAGUGCCCUGGAACGGGCCGUCAUAGAGGGUGAGAAUCCCGUCUGGGAUGGGCGGCCGUGCCCGUGUGAAGCUCCUUCGA